UACAGAGGGUGCAAGCGUUAAUCGGAAUUACUGGGCGUAAAGCGUGCGUAGACGGUUGCGUAAGUCAGAUGUGAAAGCCCCGGGCUCAACCUGGGAAUUGCAUUUGAGACUGCGUAGCUAGGGUGCGGAAGAGGGAAGCGGAAUUUCCGGUGUAGCGGUGAAAUGCGUAGAUAUCGGAAGGAACACCAGUGGCGAAAGCGGCUUCCUGGUCCAGCACCGACGUUUAGGCACGAAAGCGUGGGGAGCAAACAGG
This 253-nucleotide ribosomal RNA is filed under the name uncultured bacterium. Its description in RNAcentral is "partial 16S ribosomal RNA". It matches the Rfam family "Bacterial small subunit ribosomal RNA", at positions 524 to 776 of the family's 1533-position model. The record is from RNAcentral.